Molecule: unclassified non-coding RNA, 257 nt
Filed under: Glomus sp.
Lineage: Eukaryota; Fungi; Glomeromycota; Glomeromycetes; Glomerales; Glomeraceae
Description: partial contains 5.8S ribosomal RNA and internal transcribed spacer 2
Rfam family: 5.8S ribosomal RNA (bases 1-65)
Source: RNAcentral
GUGAAUCAUCGAAUUUUUGAACGCAAAUUGCACUCUCUUCGGAGAGUAUGCCUGUUUGAGGGUCAGCCUAAAAAAAUCGACAUAGUUGCUGUUUUGUGGUGACCUUUGGUGGAAAUUGGGGCAUUUUAAACCUUUUGGGUUUUAGGGGGUUAAAAUUUUUUUUACGAAUUCACGGACGUUUUUUAGAUUUAAUUUUUUAGUUUAAGGUAUCGAUUUUUUUUUGAUGGUUCCGGUGUAUCGGGUUUAGUCCAUAAAUU